Molecule: transfer RNA, 74 nt
Filed under: Xiphophorus maculatus (southern platyfish)
Lineage: Eukaryota; Metazoa; Chordata; Actinopteri; Cyprinodontiformes; Poeciliidae
Rfam family: tRNA
About the family: Transfer RNA (tRNA) molecules are approximately 80 nucleotides in length. Their secondary structure includes four short double-helical elements and three loops (D, anti-codon, and T loops).
Source: Rfam by way of RNAcentral
GGCUCUGUGGCGCAUUGGACUGACCGCAGCAGCAAGACAUUGAAAGGUUGUGGGUUCGAGUCCCACCAGAGUCG